This 234-nucleotide ribosomal RNA is filed under the name uncultured bacterium. Its description in RNAcentral is "partial 16S ribosomal RNA". It matches the Rfam family "Bacterial small subunit ribosomal RNA", at positions 118 to 347 of the family's 1533-position model. The record is from RNAcentral.
UGAGGAACAUGACCUUCGGCGGGGGAUAGCCGGCCCAACGGCCGGGUAAUACCGCGUACGACCAUUUGGGGACAUCCCCGAGUGGUGAAAGCAGCAAUGCGCCGAUGGAGUGCCUCGCGGCCUAUCAGCUAGUUGGUGAGGUAACGGCUCACCAAGGCGACGACGGGUAGCUGGUCUGAGAGGAUGGCCAGCCACAUUGGGACUGAGACACGGCCCAGACUCCUACGGGAGCAG